Molecule: ribosomal RNA, 465 nt
Filed under: uncultured bacterium
Lineage: Bacteria
Description: partial 16S ribosomal RNA
Rfam family: Bacterial small subunit ribosomal RNA
Source: RNAcentral
ACGAACGCUGGCGGCGCGCCUAACACAUGCAAGUCGAACGAGCGAGAGAGAGCUUGCUUUCUUGCGCGAGUGGCGAACGGGUGAUUAACGCGUGAGGAACCUGCCUCAUAGAGGGGGACAACAGUUGGAAACGACUGCUAAUACCGCAUAAGCCCACGACCCGGCAUCGGGUUGAGGGAAAAGGGGCAAUCCGCUUUGAGAUGGCCUCGCGUCCGAUUAGCUAGUUGGUGAGGUAACGGCCCACCAAGGCGACCAUCGGUAGCCGGACUGAGAGGUUGAACGGCCACAAUGGGACUGAGACACGGCCCAGACUCCUACGGGAGGCAGGAGUGGGGAAUAUUGCACAAGGGGGGAAACCCUGAUGCAGCGACGCCGCGUGGAGGAAGAAGGUCUUCGGAUUGUAAAGUCCUGUUGUAGAGGAAGAUAAUGACGGUACUCAAAAAGGAAGUGACGGCUAACUACGUG